AACUUAAAGGAAUUGACGGGGGCCCGCACAAGCGGAGGAGCAUGUGGUUUAAUUCGAUGAUACGCGAGGAACCCUUACCUGGGCUCGAACGUAAGAUGACUGUAGGUGAAAGCUUACAUCUCUUCGGAGCAUUUUUACGAGGUGCUGCAUGGUUGUCGUCAGCUCGUGCCGUGAGGUGUCGGGUUAAGUCCCAUAACGAGCGCAACCCUUGUCCUUAGUUACCAGCACGUUAUGGUGGGCACUCUAAGGAGACUGCCGGUGACAAACCGGAGGAAGGUGGGGAUGACGUCAAGUCAUCAUGGCCCUUACGGCCUGGGCUACACACGUGCUACAAUGGUCGGUACAAAGGGUUGCCAAGCCGCGAGGUGGAGCUAAUCCCAUAAAACCGAUCGUAGUCCGGAUCGCAGUCUGCAACUCGACUGCGUGAAGUCGGAAUCGCUAGUAAUCGUGAAUCAGAAUGUCACGGUGAAUACGUUCCCGGGCCUU
This 486-nucleotide ribosomal RNA is filed under the name uncultured Pseudomonas sp. RNAcentral describes it as "bacterial SSU rRNA". It matches the Rfam family "Bacterial small subunit ribosomal RNA", at positions 898 to 1382 of the family's 1533-position model. Lineage: Bacteria; Pseudomonadati; Pseudomonadota; Gammaproteobacteria; Pseudomonadales; Pseudomonadaceae. The record is from RNAcentral.